RNAcentral lists this ribosomal RNA (2490 nucleotides) under Triticum aestivum (bread wheat). RNAcentral describes it as "partial small subunit ribosomal RNA". The record is from RNAcentral. Lineage: Eukaryota; Viridiplantae; Streptophyta; Magnoliopsida; Poales; Poaceae.
AUGCUCAAGGAGCUGCAAAUUCCUUUCGACAAGUCCAAAACUCAUCCUGCAGCGCUGACCACCAGUAAGUAUGGGCAAUCCAGCUGGGAGUCAUUCAAGACAGUGAUGUCGAGAGAGCUGUUGUUGAUGAAGCGCAACUCCUUCAUCUACAUCUUCAAGGUUACCCAGUUGCUCAUCCUUGGGCUCGUGGCCAUGACUGUGUUCCUCAGAACAAAGAUGCCAUAUGGGCAGAUUUCUGACAGCGCCAAAUUCUUUGGUGCUCUGACUUUCAGUUUAAUCACCGUCUUGUUCAAUGGGUUUGCUGAGCUACAGUUUACUAUUAAAAUGCUUCCUACGUUCUACAAACAGAGAGAUUUCUUGUUCUUUCCUCCAUGGACCUUUGGACUGGUAAACAUCAUCUCGAAAGUUCCCGUUUCUCUUGUGGAGUCCUCGGUAUGGGUCAUCCUCACAUACUACGUGAUGGGCUUUGCACCUGCUGCAGGAAGGUUCUUUCGUCACCUUUUAGCUUUCUUCCUUACUCACCAAAUGGCAAUGGGUUUAUUCCGAUUUCUUGGUGCUGUUUUGAAAUCAAUGGUUGUGGCCAAUACCUUGGGGAUGUUUGUGAUCCUUGUUAUUUUUAUAUUUGGAGGGUUUCCAAACAAUGAUACAUCUAUCGCUGCAAGAACAGUAGGCGAGGCUAUUCUUAAAUCCAGAGGAUUGUUUACUGGAGACUCGGGAUUUUGGGUUUCCAUCGGAGCCAUUGUAGGAUUCGCUAUUCUGUUCAACAUAUUGUACCUUCUGGCACUUACGUAUUUGAGCUUUGGCAGCAGCUCAAAUACAGUUUCAGACGAGGAGAAUGAGAAUGAGACAAACACUUCAAUGCCUAUAGAUGAAGCCACAAAUCGACCAACUCGGUCACAAAUCACCUUGCCUUUCCAGCCUCUUUCACUUUCUUUCAACCAUGUUAACUAUUACGUGGACAUGCCUGCAGAAAUGAGAGAGCAAGGAUUCGCCGAAAGUCGUCUCCAGUUGCUCUCCGAUAUCAGUGGUGCUUUUAGGCCAGGUGUUCUGACAGCAUUAGUUGGUGUGAGUGGAGCUGGGGAAACCAUUCUAAUGGAUGUCCUGGCAGGAAGGAAAACUAGUGGGUCUAUUGAAGGAAGUAUCACCCUCUCUGGUUACCCUAAAAAACAAGAAACUUUUGCCCGCAUCAGUGGCUAUUGUGAACAGACUGAUAUCCAUUCACCAAAUGUUACUGUCUAUGAAUCCAUUCUCUACUCUGCCUGGCUGCGUCUUUCCUCAGAUGUUGACGAAAAAACGAGAAAGAUAUUUGUGGAGGAAGUCAUGACUCUUGUAGAGCUUGAUGUGUUGCGUAAUGCUAUGGUUGGUCUUCCUGGAGUGGACGGGUUAUCCACUGAACAAAGAAAGAGACUGACAAUUGCCGUGGAGCUGGUAGCAAAUCCUUCAAUCAUAUUCAUGGAUGAGCCAACUUCUGGUCUUGAUGCUAGAGCCGCGGCGAUUGUAAUGUGGGCGGUGAAAAAUACAGUUAACACUGGCCGAACUGUGGUUUGCACAAUUCAUCAACCCAGCAUCGAUAUAUUCGACUCUUUUGAUGAGCUUCUGCUUAUGAAAAGAGGCGGACGGGUUAUUUAUGCUGGUGAACUUGGUCACUACUCUCAUAAAAUAGUUGAAUAUUUUGAGGCAAUUCCAGGUGUUGAAAAGAUCACAGAAGGAUAUAAUCCUGCAACAUGGAUGCUGGAAGUUAGCUCCCCUUCAGCCGAGGCUCGCCUGAACAUAAAUUUUGCUGACAUUUAUGCUGAUUCUGACCUUUAUAGGAAAAACCAAGAACUUAUUAAGGAAUUAAGCAUUCCCCCGCCAGGCUACGAGGAUCUCUCAUUUCCUACAAAGUAUUCUCAGAAUUUCUACAACCAAUGUGUUGCAAACUUCUGGAAGCAAUACAAAUCUUAUUGGAAGAAUCCAGCCCACAACGCCAUGCGCUUCCUUAUGACGUUGAUCUAUGCCCUUGUAUUUGGCACGGUUUUUUGGCAGAAGGGGACAAAAAUAAACUCGCAACAAGAUUUAUCCAAUCUACUUGGAGCCACUUAUGCUGCGGUCUUUUUCCUUGGGUCUGCCAACUGUAUCACAGUUCAGCCUGUUGUGGCAAUUGAGCGAACAGUUUUCUACCGUGAAAAGGCGGCAGGGAUGUACUCUCCAUUAUCCUAUGCAUUAGCUCAGACGUGCGUGGAGGUGAUGUACAACAUCGUGCAGGGGAUUGAAUACACGUUGAUCAUCUAUUCGAUGAUUGGAUAUGAGUGGAAAGCUGCAAAGUUCUUCUAUUUCCUCUUCUUCAUAAUUUCCUGCUUCAACUACUUCACAUUGUUUGGCAUGAUGCUGGUGGCGUUGAGCUCAUCUGCCAUGCUCGCAAACAUAAUCAUAGCCUUUGUACUCCCCCUUUGGAACCUUUUCUCUGGGUUCCUCGUUACGAGACCGUUAAUACCAAUUUGGUGGAGGUGA